Molecule: long non-coding RNA, 736 nt
Filed under: Homo sapiens (human)
Lineage: Eukaryota; Metazoa; Chordata; Mammalia; Primates; Hominidae
Description: non-protein coding LINC01277:10
Source: RNAcentral
CAAAAUUAUGUUGAAUAACUGAAAGAUGAAAACACAAUCACUUGAAGGAGAAAUGUAUGGUCAAACUGCAUGCAGGAAAAACUUCUAUAAAAGAGUUACUUCAUGCUCUGGGUUGGCAGAUACAAUGAGCAGGAGUGCAUCAGAAGUAAUCAAGAAGGUGAUUAGUUGGUGUACUUCAGCAGGAGCAACCAGAUGAAUUGGCUUCUCUAUAUCCCCGUAUUAGCCACAAGCUAGGCAGCAGCCUGCAGGUGGGAGCAAUGCCUAUGCAUGUAUGGAUCAGUGUGCUACAUACAGUCACGUUGACAGCAUGAACCUUCGAUGUGAUGUGAGGAAAAUGGCAUUCUACCUCUGUGUUCUUCCUCCCCAAAAUUUGUAACCACCAUCUAAUCAUGAGGAAAACAUCAUACAAGUCCAAAUUGAGGAAGAUUCUACAAAAUGCCUGAUUAAUAUUCAUCGAAACUGUCAAGGUCAUCAAAAGCAAGGAAAGUCUGAGAAACUGCCACAGCCUAAAGACAAUCCAGGGAAACGUGAUGACUCAGUGGUAUUCGGGGUGGGUUUCUGGAACAGCAAAAGGACAACAGGAGAUGGAAUUGGCCUAGUCAGUCAGAUUCUGGCCAAGUGGAGAAGACCAUGUCAAGGAUUGGGUUCUUGAGGGACUGGAGGUGGAACUAAGUCAAAGUCUCCAGGUUGAACCACAGAAGAUAACCGGUACAAACAAGAGAAGACCAUAUGCAAA